GGUAGUUAAAGCUUUAUUUAUUGCCAAAUCGCUUGUGAAAUUUUUCAGUCACUGUCAGUGCUUGUAGCAAACAAUACAAGUAUUUAAAUUUAUCUUGAGCCGGGCAUGAUGGCAGAUGCCCAUAACCCCAGCAUUCCAGAGGCUGAGGCAGGAGGAUCUCAUUGAGUUCCAGGCCAGCCUCACCUGCAUAGCAACACCCUGUCUUGAUCUUUUUUCUUUUCAGUACAGAAAAUCAAACUCAGGGCCUUGCGCUUGCCAGGCAGGCACUGCACUGCUGAGCUACAUCCCUGGCCCAGCAACACCCUGUUUUAAGAAAAGAAAGAAACAAAUGUGCAGAUGGGGACUUCCUUGUUGUUUGGGCUGUCCUAGGACUCCUGGACUUCAGUGAUCCUCCUGCCUCAUCCUCCUGGGUAGCUGGUACUACAGGCACAUGCCACCAUGUCCAGUUUUAUUCACUGGUUUUUUUUAAAGCAUAUUUAUCAUUUAGUAUAUUUACAUGUACCCAAUAUGUGGAAUUUUUUUUCCAAAUUCAUAACUCAUUUACAUUCUACCUAUUUGGAGUGUUUAUUUUUUGCAGUGCUGGGGAUGGAACCCAGAGUUUUAUGCAUGUCCCUUUUGGUUUCUUAAUCUUGCCUAUUUUCAAACAGAGCAAGAAUAGCCAGUGUUAAAAAACUAUCAGAACUAAUCCUAUACACAUAUAGGAUUAACAAAAACUGGAGUAACACAAUCUGUUUUGAAUAUUUUUAUUCUACUUCGUUGUUUGAAUGUUUGAGAGAAAAUUUAGAACCUCCAAAUAAUAUAGCUACAUAAUACAUACAAAGUCUGGCAUGCUUCCUGGGUAUGGUGGCGGACCAGGGAGCCUGAAUCAGGAAGACUGCCACAAAUUCAAGGCCAGCCUGGGCUACAUGGUGAGUUCAAGGCCAGCCUGAACUGCAUGGCGAGACCCUGUCUCAUCACCCCCAAAAAGAAAUUCUGGAAUCAACAAUUUUCAAAGAAAACCCUCUUGAAUUGCAAAAUAAUAUUAAUUUGUGGUUUUUGUUUCUAUUUUUAAAUUUUUGUACUGGGUAUUGAACUCAGGGCCUUCACAGUGAGCUACAUCCCCAACCCUUUUUGCUCUUUGUUCCUUUUUUUUUUUUUGAGACAGGUUUUAAGUUGCCCAGUUGGGACUUGAACUGGCAACCUUCCUUCUUCAGCCUCCCAGAGUGCCGUUAUGAUAGGCCUGCACCAUCCUGCCCAGCUCUCAACCUAUAAGAUGUUUACAGAUAACGUUUAAUGUGUUUCCUGGCUUGAUCUUGCUUUUUAAAGUAAUGCUGAGGGCUGGGGAUUUAGCUCGGCGGUUCCUGCGCCUGCCUCGCAAGCUCAAGGACCCGAGUUCGAUCCCCGGUACCAAAAACAAAACAAAAUAAGAACAAUAAAGUAAUCCUGAAUGCUUUAUUAAGGAAUUGUUUUUUCUCUUUUUGCAAUACUGGGGAUUAAACUCAGGGCCUUGCACCUUAGGCAAGUGCGCUACUACCGAGCUACCCCCCAGCCCUGUCUUGCUCAUUGCAGUGACUCCAAGGUAGCAGGGGAAGGUGGUGAAGUGAGUUUCUUUCAGAUGAAGAAACGAGGUUCAGAGCGAUGAGCCCAGAGUGCCCAGCAUCUCACGAGCCCCGCGGCAAAGAGCGCACAGCGGUGCUGUAGGCAGGCGCGGUGGUGCACACCUGUCCUCCCAGCAUGCUGCAGCGUCCGCAGGAGGACGGCAAAUUCAGGCCCAGUCUGGGCAUCUUGGCAAGACCGUGUCUCAAAAUAAAAAAUAGAACAAAGAAGGGAUGGGGAUAUAGCUCAGUGUGAAGGCAAGUUUAUGUUCCCAGUAGUGGGGGAAAAAAUGUGGUUAUGAAUUGCAGGCCAAAGGUUUGAUUUGGUAAUAUGAUUUGACUGAAUUUAACUCCUCAGCCAUUCUAAUCUGGGAGUCAUUAAUUUUGGCAAAGUCGUUGUGUUUAUCUUAGGGAUACUUAAGCUUCUUACUACCAGGAACAAUUUAGUGCACCCUUCUGUAGGAGUUCUCCCCUCAGUUAAACAGCAGACUCCUCCCCGGGAGGUGCUGUUACUAUGGAAACUGGGGACAGUAUUGUCUGAGAGGGCAGCCGUCGCUGAGGGCCGCUCUGCUUCGGGCAGAUCUACACACGCUUCAUUCCAACGUGUACAUCCUUCUGUGAAGACUCGACGGAUGAUGCAUCUAAUAAACCCUGGCCUCAUACCUAAUGCUCGCUUGGUUUUGGUUUUGACUUUAAAGGCAACAGUGAUAGACCUACAAAACAAAGGUCUGGAGGAAACAUCCGUGGUGAUGGUUUUGCGCCUUCAUGGGUUUGCCUGUUGUGUUUAUUUUACUAAUUAUGGGAAACUGAUAGACGAGAGACAUCAGAAUCACCAUUGGUUAUGAGAAAAUGAUGUAAUAAAA
This 2437-nucleotide long non-coding RNA is filed under the name Heterocephalus glaber (naked mole-rat). RNAcentral's name for it is "lncRNA (ENSHGLG00000031939.1)". Lineage: Eukaryota; Metazoa; Chordata; Mammalia; Rodentia; Bathyergidae. The record is from RNAcentral.